UUAUCGGAGAGUUUGAUCCUGGCUCAGGACGAACGCUGGCGGCGUGCCUAAAACAUGCAAGUCGAG
Molecule: ribosomal RNA, 66 nt
Filed under: Bacillus spizizenii
Lineage: Bacteria; Bacillati; Bacillota; Bacilli; Caryophanales; Bacillaceae
Description: partial 16S ribosomal RNA
Rfam family: Bacterial small subunit ribosomal RNA
Source: RNAcentral